GACGAACGCUGGCGGCGUGCUUAACACAUGCAAGUCGAACGGAAAGGCCCUGCUUUUGUGGGGUGCUCGAGUGGCGAACGGGUGAGUAACACGUGAGUAACCUGCCCUUGACUUUGGGAUAACUUCAGGAAACUGGGGCUAAUACCGGAUAGGAGCUCCUGCUGCAUGGUGGGGGUUGAAAGUUUCGGCGGUUGGGGAUGGACUCGCGGCUUAUCAGCUUGUUGGUGGGGUAGUGGCUUACCAAGGCUUUGACGGGUAGCCGGCCUGAGAGGGUGACCGGCCACAUUGGGACUGAGAUACGGCCCAGACUCCUACGGGAGGCAGCAGUGGGGAAUAUUGCACAAUGGGCGGAAGCCUUAUGCAGCAACGCCGCGUGCGGGAUGACGGCCUUCGGGUUGUAAACCGCUUUCGCCUGUGACGAAGCGUGAGUGACGGUAAUGGGUAAAGAAGCACCGGCUAACUACGUG
This 467-nucleotide ribosomal RNA is filed under the name uncultured bacterium. RNAcentral describes it as "partial 16S ribosomal RNA". It matches the Rfam family "Bacterial small subunit ribosomal RNA", at positions 28 to 507 of the family's 1533-position model. The record is from RNAcentral.